GACUAGCACUCACUGAGAGUCCUGCUUCCAUUUUGUAGCUCUUAAACUGGGAAUUCAAAGCAUCGAGUCCACCACUUUCUCCAGGAUUUCCAGCAUACUCCAUCGUACGCCACAUUUCUUCUAAAAAUGGAGACAUAGGCCAUGUGUCCGCUAGGUGCUUGAUUACAGAAGAAAAUGAAACAUUCACCAUGGGAUGUGAUGAGCUAUCGGUGGCCGUUGUCAGGGUAAUGGUUACUAAUGUUUUAAUAUCUAAGCAGGCUUACCCGUUCUCAUUUUCUGCUUGUGUGUUGUGUUGACCACUUUCCUGUUGCUGUGAUCAAGACACCAAAACCAGCCUUUGAAAGCAUUUACUAUGGCUUGGAUCUCCGCAAAGUCCAUGAUGGCAAGGGAGGCAGAAGACCAGGAGGCUGAGAGACACAACUUCAUCCACACCCAGGAAGCUGAGAAUGAAGUGGCAGGCCAUGGGACAGGGCAGCAAACUCUCAAAACCCAGCCCUGCUGAGGUAUUUCCUCCAGCUGGCCACCAAGCCCAAUGGCCAGAGUUUGAUCUCCAGAACCCUCAUGAUGGAAAAAAAGAACAGGAAAAAGUUGUCAUCUGAUCACCAGACAUUCACACCUUUAUUUUCUUUUUCACAGUGGCCAUUGCUGUCAGUGAGAAGUGGUUUGUCACUGUGGUUUUAAUUUGUACCUCCCUGAUUAGUAGCAAUAUGAUCAUUUAUUCGAGUAUUUGAAGAAUGUCUGUAUUCAGAUCCUUUGUCCAUUCUCUGACUGAGUUAUUUUCUCAUGGCUGAGUUAUGUAAAUUGCUCACUUCUUAUGCAUUUAGGAUAUUAAUCAGAUAUAUCAGGUUAAAAAUACUUCUCCCAUUCUGUAGAUGGAUUCUUCACUCUAUGAUUUUAAUUGUAUAAAAGAUUUUUAGCCCUUUUUGUUUUAUUUAGUUUUUGCUUUUGUCUUUUUUUGUUUUUAUUGCCUUGUGUUGGAGUUUUAUUUUUAAAAAUGGCUUCCCAGACCAAUGUCAUGGAGAUUCCUCCAUGCUGUCUUCUGAACUUCCGUGUCUCACAUAUGAGUCUGUAAUCCAUCUGGGGGUUUAUUUGUGUGUUAAGUUGAUAAGAGGGAAGGGACUCUCAGUGUUCUGCUUGUGAAGACUCUGUUUUCCUGACUCAUUUGAGGAUACUGGCCUGCCCUGCUGUAUGUCAGGAGGCUAGCCUGCCUUACUGUGUGUGAGGAGACUGACCUGUCUACUGUGUGUGAGGAGACAGUCUGCCCUACUGUGUGUGAGUCUUCUCCUGGAGAAAUUCCAGUUCCUUGGGGUCCAGUGUUUUAAUAGCCUGAUAGUCAAAGGGUAGGUUGUCUUAUUAGAAUACCUUCAUUCCUGCCAGGCCAAGCACAGUUAUGUCAAUUAUGUUUGAUAUGAUUGAUUAUUGGUUAUGGUCAUAAAGGUUGGUCUCAGUUGUCAAAUUGA
Molecule: long non-coding RNA, 1460 nt
Organism: Mesocricetus auratus (golden hamster)
Lineage: Eukaryota; Metazoa; Chordata; Mammalia; Rodentia; Cricetidae
Exons: 2
Source: RefSeq, a predicted model, not a curated record